ACCAGACUCCUACGGGAGGCAGCAGUGGGGAAUAUUGCACAAUGGGGGAAACCCUGAUGCAGCGACGCCGCGUGAGUGAAGAAGUAUUUCGGUAUGUAAAGCUCUAUCAGCAGGGAAGAAAAUGACGGUACCUGACUAAGAAGCCCCGGCUAACUACGUGCCAGCAGCCGCGGUAAUACGUAGGGGGCAAGCGCUGUCCGGAAUCAUUGGGCGUAAAGCGUUCGUAGGCGGUAAAGUAAGUCAGAUGUUAAAGCCCGGGGCUCAACUCCGGUUCGGCAUUUGAUACUACUUGACUAGAAUGCGGUAGAGGUAAAGGGAAUUCCUGGUGUAGCGGUGAAAUGCUUAGAUAUCAGGAGGAACAUCGGUGGCGUAAGCGCUUUACUGGGCCGUAAUUGACGCUGAGGAACGAAAGCCAGGGUAGCAAAUGGGAUUAGAUACCCCAGUA
RNAcentral lists this ribosomal RNA (445 nucleotides) under uncultured bacterium. RNAcentral describes it as "bacterial SSU rRNA". It matches the Rfam family "Bacterial small subunit ribosomal RNA", at positions 330 to 792 of the family's 1533-position model. The record is from RNAcentral.